AUUGAACGCUGGCGGCACGCCUAACACAUGCAAGUCGAGCGGUAACAUGAUGUGUAGCAAUACACAUUGAUGACGAGCGGCGGACGGGUGAGGAACACGUAGGAACCUGCCCUCAAGCGGGGGAUAACCAGGGGAAACCCUGGCUAAUACCGCAUAAUCUCGAGAGAGAAAAGCUACCCGCAAGGGCGGCACUUGAGGAGGGGCCUGCGUGCGAUUAGCUAGCUGGUGAGGUAAUGGCUCACCAGGGCGAUGAUCGGUAACUGGUCUGAGAGGACGACCAGUCACACUGGGACUGAGACACGGCCCAGACUCCUACGGGAGGCAGCAGUGGGGAAUAUUGGACAAUGGGGGCAACCCUGAUCCAGCGAUGCCGCGUGAGUGAAGAAGGCCUUCGGGUCGUAAAGCUCUUUAGGCCGGGAAGAAGGGUGUGUGGUGCAUAGCCACGCACUUUGACGGUACCGGCAGAAUAAGCACCGGCAAACCCUAUGCCAGCCGCCGCUGUAA
Molecule: ribosomal RNA, 504 nt
Filed under: uncultured bacterium
Lineage: Bacteria
Description: partial 16S ribosomal RNA
Rfam family: Bacterial small subunit ribosomal RNA
Source: RNAcentral